Molecule: non-coding RNA, 311 nt
Organism: Prunus avium (sweet cherry)
Lineage: Eukaryota; Viridiplantae; Streptophyta; Magnoliopsida; Rosales; Rosaceae
Source: RefSeq, a predicted model, not a curated record
UUGACCCAGCAACAGCCCCCAAACCCACCCGAUACUUAACUCCUAAAACCCCCAAAUUCUAUUAUUUUCUACCCUAAGUUCCCAACUCAAUCUCCCCCCCCCCAACCAAACCAAACCAAACCCUCAACAUGGCUGAAAAGGUUAAGAGUUGCAUUUCGCCAGGAGGUGGAGAUUUGUGAUUCUAGUUGGUGGUGUGGAAAAGCUCAUAUUCAAGUAAUUUUUAAACUGUAAAUUAUGAUAAUGCCUAAUAUUUUUGUUGGAUAAUGAUUUAUUGGAUUGGGUGAAUAUUGAUGAUUUUGUGUGUGGAUGAU